UACGGAGGGGGCAAGCGUUGUUCGGAGUCACUGGGCGUAAAGGGCGCGUAGGCGGUGCGUCAAGUCGGGCGUGAAAGCCCCGGGCUUAACCUGGGAAUUGCGCUUGAUACUGACGCGCUCGAGAGCGGGAGAGGAUGGCGGAAUUCCCAGUGUAGAGGUGAAAUUCGUAGAUAUUGGGAAGAACACCGGUGGCGAAGGCGGCCAUCUGGACCGUUUCUGACGCUGAGGCGCGAAAGCGUGGGGAGCAAACAGG
RNAcentral lists this ribosomal RNA (253 nucleotides) under uncultured bacterium. RNAcentral's name for it is "partial 16S ribosomal RNA". It matches the Rfam family "Bacterial small subunit ribosomal RNA", at positions 524 to 776 of the family's 1533-position model. The record is from RNAcentral.